AGUUUUAUUAAAGAAGUGAUUUAUUUCAAUCCUCAGGAUCUGAUUCUCCCACUAUGCCUAACAUAUAGAACCACCACCAGGACAAGGAAGAGCAAUUAACCCAGUGUGGUAUGAAUAUUGGCCACUGGUGGGAAGCUUUGCUUUCAUUUUGAUCAGAAGCAGCUGUUCCAGGCAGAUCCUUGGAGUUCA
Molecule: long non-coding RNA, 189 nt
Filed under: Monodelphis domestica (gray short-tailed opossum)
Lineage: Eukaryota; Metazoa; Chordata; Mammalia; Didelphimorphia; Didelphidae
Description: lncRNA (ENSMODG00000041914.1)
Source: RNAcentral